This 536-nucleotide ribosomal RNA is filed under the name uncultured archaeon. RNAcentral describes it as "bacterial SSU rRNA". It matches the Rfam family "Archaeal small subunit ribosomal RNA", at positions 460 to 997 of the family's 1478-position model. The record is from RNAcentral.
AGCAGCCGCGGUAACACCGGCGGCCCGAGUGGUGAUCGUGAUUAUUGGGUCUAAAGGGUCCGUAGCCGGUUUGGUCAGUCCUCCGGGAAAUCUGAUAGCUCAACUAUUAGGCUUUCGGGGGAUACUGCCAGACUUGGAACCGGGAGAGGUAAGAGGUACUACAGGGGUAGGAGUGAAAUCUUGUAAUCCCUGUGGGACCACCUGUGGCGAAGGCGUCUUACCAGAACGGGUUCGACGGUGAGGGACGAAGCUGGGGGCACGAACCGGAUUAGAUACCCGGGUAGUCCCAGCCGUAACGAUGCUCGCUAGGUGUCAGGCAUGGCGCGACCGUGUCUGGUGCCGCAGGGAAGCCGUGAAGCGAGCCACCUGGGAAGUACGGCCGCAAGGCUGAAACUUAAAGGAAUUGGCGGGGGAGCACAACAACGGGUGGAGCCUGCGGUUUAAUUGGACUCAACGCCGGACAACUCACCGGGGGCGACAGCAAUAUGUAGGCCAAGCUGAAGACUUUGCCUGAAUCGCUGAGGGGAGGUGCAUGG